CACAAAACAGACGAAACACAAGAAAACAACAGUAAUCCCUACAGUACAAAACAGCCAAGUAGCUGUCAGGAAAAUGGAUGUGAAUGCAUUGAAGGAGGUGGUUCAGAGAAAUGUGAAGCAAACUGGUAUUUUGACACAGAUGCAAAGCUCAAUUUCUUAUCCCUGACCAUUCUGGGCCUUGAGAAUUCUGUUCCUGAAGACCAUCAUUUUCAACGUGCUGAUGACGGUGGAUGAGUUAGAAAGAUAUACAUCAGUUCCUCAAAGACGACACAAUACAUUUUCCCAGAAGAACUAUUGAUUUGACUACUGACCACGUCUCAUCAUGCUUUGCCAGAAUAAAACACAAAUAUUGAUUAACUGUAAAUACUUCAGUCAAUUGCGUUGUAAUUACAUUCUGGAUGUGUGAAGUUUUACUCAUGUGAAUUUCUUAAUAUUUUGGACUGCCAACUAAAUGACUGUCCUCACAGACACAUAUUGUUGGAAACAAAGAA
This is a long non-coding RNA of Oncorhynchus masou masou (cherry salmon), 491 nucleotides long. RefSeq lists it as uncharacterized. Lineage: Eukaryota; Metazoa; Chordata; Actinopteri; Salmoniformes; Salmonidae. The transcript has 4 exons. The record is from RefSeq and is a predicted model, not a curated record.